GUCCCAGGAGUGCUCCCCGUUUUUCACUCUCCGUCUGUCCCUGUCCUUCCCUUUGUCCCGGUCGCGCUCUCGGUCCCUGUCUCUCAGUCUCUCCUUCUCUUUCCCCCCCUCACUCUUUCUCUCUGUCUCCUUCUUGCGCUCGGAGUCUCUGUCCCGCUCCCUGUUGCCUCUGUCUUUCUGUCGCUCGUUGUCUGGCCUGGCCCGGGCUUUGGCUCUCUCUCUCUCCCCUUCUCUGUGUCUGUUUCCGCCAUUCUCCUUGGCCUUCUCCUUGUCCUUGUCCUUUUCUCUUGGCUUGCGGUCUUCUUUCAAUUCUUCCUUCUGUUUUCGAUCUCUGCUUGUACUUCUCUCUUUU
This 352-nucleotide long non-coding RNA is filed under the name Homo sapiens (human). RNAcentral's name for it is "LHRI_LNC609.1". Lineage: Eukaryota; Metazoa; Chordata; Mammalia; Primates; Hominidae. The record is from RNAcentral.